Molecule: long non-coding RNA, 2852 nt
Filed under: Xyrichtys novacula (pearly razorfish)
Lineage: Eukaryota; Metazoa; Chordata; Actinopteri; Labriformes; Labridae
Source: RNAcentral
GACAGAGAGCGGGUAAUACUGCGUCCUGCAGAGAAGAAUCAAACACACAGUACACAAACCUGCUGCUUUGAAAAUACACAGUAAAGAUUAAAUACCACAGAAAGGAAUACUCACUCUCUACACCUUACCUGCAGGUCUCUCUGGUCUAUUAACUAUGAAGCUUUAUAUACACACACACAACGUGACUUUGACUGUGUUCUUUUACUCUAAUACCAUUUUAUUUUUACAGUGAGAAGUAAGAACAGAAAGAUGAAAAUCAAACCCAUGUGUUGCUCCUAAACCUCAGCAGUAAUGAUGCAUUCACAGAUGUUUAAGCUACCCAUGAUAUCAACAUUUAUGAUCCCCUGUAACAUCAGGGAUGCUGGCUUUGAAAUGAGCAGAGGAGAUAAUGUCCAUGGUUUCCAAAAAGAAAGUUAAAUUGUGAUUCAUCAAAACCUGAGUGACUGUGUUCACAGACAAUGGUUUUUGGAAGUGAUUUUGAGCGAUUGCCAAUACAGAUUCCUGUCUUUUUUAAUGCGGUGUUGCCUGAGGGCCUGAAGAUUAGGACCAUCUUAUCUUUGUUUUGGUCUUGGUCCCUUUUGUACGGAGAUUUCUCCAGACUCUCUGAAUCUUUUAAUGAUGAAAUCCGCUCAUUCUUCUACAUUUUGUGUCUCUGAUUUUUUUUUACAAACAUGUUGCUGCCAUCAAGUUUAAAAUGAAAAUAUGAUUUUGCUCGUUUUCCAGUUAGAAACCUCUUAAAAAACUGUCAAAAUCACUUUUCACCAACAUUUCACUCAGAGUCCUGACUCUUUACAGGCUGAACUACUUCUCCUUUUUUACCACACAUAUCUGUUUCUCUCUUUAGUUCCUCCGUCAGCCACUAGAAGGCAUAAUGUUGUUUUCCUCUGAGCACAUAAACAGACUCCAUUCAGAACUCCAUCUGAGAUUUCUCUUUUUUUCCCUCUCUCUCUCCUCAUGUAUUCUUUAAACCAUCCUCCAACCUUUUUAUUAAUGAUACAGCAUUUUGGAUCAUUAAGUACAUCAGUUCUGCUUCCUUUUAAUUUGUCACUCUGCUAAUUGAUGUCCACAUAGCCAGGCAAUUAAUUCAACCUAAUUAGAGCUCCAUUUGCAGAAGCCUAAUUGACACAUAGAUCUGUCUGCUGAACGGCCAAUUAGGAAUGAGAUGCAUGAAAUAAAAUGAUGGUGAGAUAUUAAUGAUUCAAUCAAAUAUGUGAUUUCAUUAAUUCAGGAAUCUGAGAGCAGGUCUGAAACUACAAAAUCUGGAUUUUAAAGAAGGUUUUCAUUUGUAUUCACUUUUACACUCAGAAAGUUAACACAGACACACCAAACUCCAUUUAGAAAACAGAUAAUUAAAGAGAUAAUCAAACAAGUGGAUGAAAAUUGUCAUUUAUUUAGUCUUAUUGGUUUGUUUUAUCUUGAAGUCUGCAAAAUUUUCUGUGGACACAUGGCUGUCUUAAAAAGUUGAGGCAAUAAUAACAAUAAUAAUAAUAAUCUUUGUCGUUGUUUUUGGGUCACAGAUUCACCUGAUAAUCAAUAACCUCUGAUGUCAAACAUCCUUCACACCUGCUGAUCAACGACUGAUCAGCUCUCAGGAGAAUCAAGGCUGUAAUCCUGCUCUCACUCUUAAAUCUGUCCACAAAAUCACCUCAGAGGACCGGGAGAGACCCGAUCAGAGCCCCGACAGCUGCUCCAACAUCGGCGGACCCCCGCUGAGAGAGGGACCCCCACACUGAGCCGAGGGGCCCCGUCAUCUAAUCAACACGCUGUGAUUCUCUCUGCACAGCGGGAGGGAGGAGAAACCUGCAGCUUCUGAAGGAGGUGAUGCUCUGGAAACUCUCUGCAGCAUGAAAAGAAGAUGUGAUUUCUGUUGUAAAUGGGCAUAUAUUUACAUUCAUUCAUGCAGAGAGGCUCCGUCUGCAGCGAGUCAAUUUAUCAUGGCUGCAUAAUAGGUCAAAUCAAAUAGAAAAAAAUGAAUUUUGAUGUUGUAAAACUGAUAAAAACUCAAAGACAUUCAGUUUACGGUGACAUAAAAGCAGCUUAACUCAAAACUGGUCCUGUUUUACUCACUUUAAAAAACUGGAUUGUGGUGUUAAAUCACAGUAAAGCCUCCUUAAAAUGCAGCCCAGUGUGCAGGGAGUUUAGUUUAAAUCAGACGACCUUAAAAUAACCAGAGAACCAAAGUUAUAAAGGAGGAAAAAGGUGAGACAAGACACGCUGAUAAGGCAGUUUAUCAGAGUUUAUAAUAAACCAAAUGAAGUCUCCAGACAUCUCCAUCUUUGUUGCUAACUUUAAAAACACACAGACCGAUGUAGCAGCAGCAAUGAGGUUACUAAGCUGCUGUUUGACUGGGUUUGUACUUUAUCACCUGAUGUUGUUGUAUUUAUUCAGUGAUUUAAGAACUCCUCCUGUUAAUAACUUCACCCUGCUCCUUGUUUUCGGGACAUAAGCAUGAAAAUUGCUGAAAUAUGUGAAAAUAAACUCUGGAUUUGUUUCCAGCUCCUCUCCUCCAGAGCCAUGUUUCAGGCCUCUCUCGCUGGCCGGCCUCUUCCUUCCACAUUAUACAAGUUCUCUCUUUUUUCUGCUGCCAACUCUUUCCAUUUUCUCCUCGCCAGCUGGUCAGGGGUCUCCUGCUGCCGCUCGGGCCCUCAGCUCACUUCCUACUUUCUGCAGCACCUGUUCCUGUUUGGCAGAGUCGGCCGGGAUGCUGAAAGCUUGGAGACGAGCCAUCUGCUGCCCGGCUCUGCACCAUUUUACCCCCAAUCCCUGGAGUACCUGCAUGCAUCCUGACUUUUCUCUGUUUUAACAGCUCUGAAACACUCAGAGCUGCUCAGAAAUGGAAAAAAAAAGCUGAG